GGAUUAGAUACCCUGGUAGUCCUAGCUGUAAACGAUGGAUACUAGACGUAGGAACUGGAUUGACGGUUUCUGUGUCGCAGCUAACGCGUUAAGUAUCCCGCCUGGGGAGUACGGUCGCAAGACUAAAACUCAAAUGAAUUGACGGGGACCCGCACAAGUAGUGGAGCAUGUGGUUUAAUUCGAAGAUACGCGCAGAACCUUACCAACACUUGACAUGUUCGUCGCGACUUUAAGAGAUUAAAGUUUUCGGUUCGGCCGGACGAAACACAGGUGCUGCAUGGCUGUCGUCAGCUCGUGUCG
This 300-nucleotide ribosomal RNA is filed under the name uncultured bacterium. RNAcentral describes it as "bacterial SSU rRNA". It matches the Rfam family "Bacterial small subunit ribosomal RNA", at positions 775 to 1067 of the family's 1533-position model. The record is from RNAcentral.